UACGUAGGGUGCAAGCGUUGUCCGGAAUUAUUGGGCGUAAAGAGCUCGUAGGCGGCUUGUUGCGUCAGCUGUGAAAACCCGCAGCUCAACUGUGGGCUUGCAGCUGAUACGGGCAGGCUUGAGUUCGGUAGGGGAGACUGGAAUUCCAGGUGUAGCGGUGAAAUGCGUAGAUAUCUGGAGGAACACCGGUGGCGAAGGCGGCAUCCUGGACCGGCAUUGACGCUGAGGCGCGAAAGCCAGGGGAGCAAACGGG
This 253-nucleotide ribosomal RNA is filed under the name uncultured bacterium. RNAcentral's name for it is "partial 16S ribosomal RNA". It matches the Rfam family "Bacterial small subunit ribosomal RNA", at positions 524 to 776 of the family's 1533-position model. The record is from RNAcentral.